Molecule: long non-coding RNA, 915 nt
Organism: Esox lucius (northern pike)
Lineage: Eukaryota; Metazoa; Chordata; Actinopteri; Esociformes; Esocidae
Exons: 3
Source: RefSeq, a predicted model, not a curated record
GAGAGUCACUUAUUUACUUCAGCCUCAGCUCUUUCUUGACACGUCAAACGCAUCACUUCUUGUGCGCUGGAAAAAAUGUCCCACCACUGCACGAGCCAAACACCUUUUUCCUUAGCAGCAGUACACUGUAUACAUGCUCACUCUCCAUGGCCCAGAAUCUUGGUACUGUGUCUAGGAUUCGGCCUCAUUAUGUUCGCAGCUAACUGCAAGGCAGAUACUUCACCGCUGCCUCAUGAGGUGCCACCCGGUUCAGAGGUCACGUUUGACAUUGAAUCAGUGGCAGUGAUCAACAACAUCAGGGUGCUUAAACCCGUGACCCCACGGUUAGAUCCAAUUCUGCCACCAGUGAUGACCACAUCUGGCGUACCACCAUAAAUGGAUCCAUGAACAGGCAGACUACCACCAUCACUGACGCUUGACCUCUGCAAAGGAUUCAGAAUACUGUUCUGUUUUCAGACGACUCCCACAGAACGCUGCAGUGAAAGCUUCGUAAUUCCGGGAAGGAUGAGGUCAAGACACCUUUUCUGGGAAAUAGUUUUUUUUAUUUCUAAACUUCUGCUGAAAAACAGCAGCAAUAAACCGUGAAAUCAUGUUACUUUCCGAAGUGUACUCCUUUGGUCGUCUUUCUGUCAGAAUUCCAAAUAUCACACCAGAACGUCCCAAGCCACUUGACCUGCAGCUGAAUCAGUUGGUGACAUGCGUGGAUACUCACAACUCACGGUUAUUGUUUGAAAUGCAGAUAGGGCCAGCUGCCAUUUGCCAUGGAAAUGCCGUUCCUCUUGCCCAAGCUUGAGAUUACCCUGAAUGAAGACCUGUAACUGCUUGGUGGUGGAUGAUGUUUUUUUUCAAAGCCUGAGCCCAAUCUGAAGAAUGCCUGGAUCAAGAGCUUCUUGAGCUGCUUUUCUCAACCAGCUU